GAUGAACGCUAGCGGGAGGCUUAACACAUGCAAGUCGAGGGGCAUCACGGGGUAGCAAUACUCUGGUGGCGACCGGCGCACGGGUGAGUAACACGUAUGCAACCUGCCUCGUACAGGGGGAUAACCCGGAGAAAUUCGGACUAAUAUCCCAUAAUGAUAUUGAAAGGCAUCUUUUGAUAUUUAAAGCUCAGGCGGUACGGGAUGGGCAUGCGGAACAUUAGCUAGUUGGCAGGGUAACGGCCUACCAAGGCUGCGAUGUUUAGGGGACCUGAGAGGGUUAUCCCCCACACUGGUACUGAGACACGGACCAGACUCCUACGGGAGGCAGCAGUGAGGAAUAUUGGUCAAUGGGCGCAAGCCUGAACCAGCCAUCCCGCGUGAAGGAAGAAGGCGCUAUGCGUUGUAAACUUCUUUUCCAGGGGGAGAAUUUUUUCCGUCGUGACGGGAAUUGACGGUACUCUGGGAAUAAGCAUCGGCUAACUCCGUGCCAGCAGCCGCGGUAAAGUAGACG
Molecule: ribosomal RNA, 511 nt
Filed under: uncultured bacterium
Lineage: Bacteria
Description: bacterial SSU rRNA
Rfam family: Bacterial small subunit ribosomal RNA
Source: RNAcentral